This 2181-nucleotide ribosomal RNA is filed under the name Triticum aestivum (bread wheat). RNAcentral's name for it is "partial small subunit ribosomal RNA". The record is from RNAcentral. Lineage: Eukaryota; Viridiplantae; Streptophyta; Magnoliopsida; Poales; Poaceae.
UGCGGGCCCACCUGCCAGUGCACUCAUUACCAGUUUACGCUUCCGUUAGACAUGGGAAGACGUUUCGUAAGUCGGGUUGCGUAUUUGUGGGAAAUACGCCUACGAGGGUAAAAUCUCUCGAGCUCUACCCGAAUGCCGCACGCGGAGCUCGCCUGUUGAACCCGCCGCCUCCGCUUCACUUCCAAUUCGAAUCGCCUCCGCCGCGCCGCCGCCAUCAGCUUUGCUUGCUUCUUCUAGAAUUCCUCGGCCUGCCGAAUCGAACGCUCCACCGCCUCGGCGCACCCUCACCGGAGCCGGGCCCCCACCGCCCGCCGCUAAACCCUAGCUGCCGCCGGCGACCGCCGCCAUGAGCCGCUUCGACGGCCGUGCGGCGGACCCCAGCUCCUACCGCGACCGCCGCAGUGAGGGGGCGUUCGGUGGCGGGACGAGGGCGUUCGCGCCGUCGGGAAAGCCGGAUGCUGCCGCCGCGGCGGCCGCGGCGGAGCUGGACGGGCUGCCGCGGUUCGAGAAGAACUUCUACGUGGAGGUUCCCGCGGUGGCCGGCAUGACGGCGGAGGAGGUCGAGGCCUACCGCCGCCGCCGGGAGAUCACCGUCGAGGGCAACGACGUGCCCAAGCCGGUGCGCGACUUCCGCGACGUCGGCUUCCCAGAAUACGUGUUGCAAGAAAUCACAAAAGCUGGCUUUACAGAACCUACCCCUAUCCAGUCACAAGGUUGGCCAAUGGCACUGAAGGGGCGUGAUCUUAUUGGCAUUGCUGAAACAGGAUCUGGAAAAACACUUGCUUACCUUUUACCUGCCAUUGUUCAUGUUAAUGCUCAGCCUAUUCUAGCUCCUGGUGAUGGUCCGAUUGUUCUUGUGUUAGCCCCUACACGUGAACUUGCUGUCCAGAUACAGCAGGAGACAACAAAAUUUGGUGCAUCAUCAAAGAUAAAAAGCACAUGCAUAUAUGGUGGUGUCCCAAAAGGUCCUCAAGUUCGUGAUCUUCAAAAAGGUGUUGAAAUUAUUAUAGCCACGCCAGGAAGACUAAUUGAUAUGAUGGAAUCACAUCACACAAAUUUGCGGAGGGUCACAUACCUUGUUUUAGACGAGGCAGAUCGAAUGCUAGACAUGGGUUUUGAACCUCAGAUUAAGAAAAUUGUUUCUCAGAUUCGUCCAGAUCGACAAACUCUUUACUGGAGUGCUACCUGGCCAAAGGAAGUUGAGCUGCUAGCAAGGACUUUCCUUUUUGAUCCAUACAAGGUUAUAAUUGGUUCUGAAGAACUGAAAGCUAAUCAUGCCAUUUGUCAGCAUGUAGAGAUAUUAUCUGAGAGCCAGAAGUAUAACAAGUUGGUCAAUCUACUGGAGGAUAUAAUGGAUGGCAGCCGAAUUUUAAUAUUCAUGGACACCAAGAAAGGGUGCGAUCAGAUCACCAGACAGCUUCGAAUGGAUGGUUGGCCUGCUCUGUCUAUCCAUGGUGACAAGAGCCAAGCUGAAAGAGAUUGGGUUCUUUCUGAAUUCAAGUCAGGGAAAAGCCCCAUUAUGACAGCUACUGAUGUUGCUGCUCGAGGCUUAGAUGUUAAGGAUGUCAAGUAUGUCAUUAACUAUGACUUUCCGGGGUCUCUGGAGGAUUAUGUUCAUCGCAUUGGUCGAACUGGCAGAGCUGGAGCAACAGGGACAGCCUACAGCUUUUUCACGGCUGCUAACGCCAGAUUUGCCAAGGAUCUUAUUAGCAUUUUAGUUGAAGCCGGACAGAAGGUCAGCCCUGAAUUAGCUAAUAUGGGCCGUGGUGCACCACCUCCUUCUUUGGGUCAUCGUGAUAGAUACAGAGGGCAUGGAGGUGGUCGUUCAUGGAGCUGACAUUAAAAUAUUCAGUUGUUGCAAACAGCGAUAUUUGACCUUUCUUUGUGGAUGAUCAUGUAUUUCUGGCUCACUGGAUCUUUUGGCUAGUGUCCGGUAAAGGUGGAUUUAUUUACUUUGGAUACCAUGCUGUGUUGACUGAAACUUUUUCACCCAUUCUGUCUAAUAGCUAGAAAUGUGUCACAAUCAUGCAGUUUCAGUAGAAAAUAGUUCAGCUGUCAGUUUUGCUGAGUCACAGCGAAACUCAUAUUUUGGGUCCCAUCAAUGUCAAUACAUGACCUAAUUUAUUUCCAUAAUACCGCAUUCACCUACGUUGGGUCCGUAAUACUGAAUAUCAAUGCAUC